GUACUUGGUGUUUGCCAACAUGCUGUAAUUUCCAGCCUGGUUGCUGUAGCCACAGAGGAAUUUUCAAGGACAAGAACCAGUGCUGGUAAAACUGUGGUCUCGUGUGGUUUUCCAUACCAGCUCUCGGCAAGGAUUUUCAAGAAAGGAAUACCAUCUCCAAAUCAUGAUGUGCCAAUAAGCUCCAGUUAGCUGCGGCCUUUUCCCCAG
Molecule: long non-coding RNA, 207 nt
Organism: Mya arenaria
Lineage: Eukaryota; Metazoa; Mollusca; Bivalvia; Myida; Myidae
Exons: 3
Source: RefSeq, a predicted model, not a curated record